Molecule: transfer RNA, 72 nt
Organism: Camelus ferus (Wild Bactrian camel)
Lineage: Eukaryota; Metazoa; Chordata; Mammalia; Artiodactyla; Camelidae
Rfam family: tRNA
About the family: Transfer RNA (tRNA) molecules are approximately 80 nucleotides in length. Their secondary structure includes four short double-helical elements and three loops (D, anti-codon, and T loops). Further hydrogen bonds mediate the characteristic L-shaped molecular structure. tRNAs have two regions of fundamental functional importance: the anti-codon, which is responsible for specific mRNA codon recognition, and the 3' end, to which the tRNAs corresponding amino acid is attached (by aminoacyl-tRNA synthetases). tRNAs cope with the degeneracy of the genetic code in two manners: having more than one tRNA (with a specific anti-codon) for a particular amino acid; and 'wobble' base-pairing, i.e. permitting non-standard base-pairing at the 3rd anti-codon position.
Source: Rfam
GAGGGUAUAGCUCAGUGGUGGGGUGCAUACUUAGCAGGCACGAGGUCCUGGGUUCAAUCCCCAGUACCUCUG